Long non-coding RNA from Triticum dicoccoides, 325 nucleotides. RefSeq lists it as uncharacterized. The record is from RefSeq and is a predicted model, not a curated record. NCBI's taxonomy places the organism in Eukaryota, Viridiplantae, Streptophyta, Magnoliopsida, Poales, Poaceae. The transcript is spliced from 3 exons.
AAUCCAAGCUCAGUCCGUUGGUAUGCCCCAUGGCUGGAUUUGCUUGCUUUGCUGUGUACUGGAGGUGCUCAAUGAAAUCCGUCAGUUUGCUCUUGGUCUUGGAGGAUUACGGAAGAGGAUAUGUAGAUCCUUCCAAUCCCUAGCAAUGUACUAGAAGUUAUAAAUGGUGGUCAGUAUCAGCCACUACAUGUCGGAGCUGUUGCGGGAGCACCAGAAGCUUGUCCUGUUUCACGCAGGUGCUACCAAUCUACAUCAAGCUGUUGGGCCACGAGAUAAUGCGGGUGUCCUCCUUGCUUAAGCAACAUCAUGGUGGGGACCUUCAAAG